Molecule: long non-coding RNA, 10019 nt
Filed under: Brassica rapa (field mustard)
Lineage: Eukaryota; Viridiplantae; Streptophyta; Magnoliopsida; Brassicales; Brassicaceae
Description: long non-coding RNA (BRAP_LNC000732)
Source: RNAcentral
GUUAGGUGAAGAUCUUCGAGCCACUUGAGAUGCGAGAAGAUAUUAAAGUCAAUUGGACCUUGUGUCUUGUAAUUGGAAAGGUGAAGUUCUACAAGGUUGGUAAAUUUUGAUAUCGUGGCUGGGAUUGGCCCUCUCAAGUUGUUAUUGCCAACGUAUAACAGUCCUAGCUGAGGUGGUGAAGAUAUAUUCCCAAGGUCAAGAAUACCAUUGAAUCGGUUAUCAGACAAUCUAACAUAUUCAAUAGAAGGAAUGGUGAAGAGAGAAGAAGGCAGGGUUCCAGUGAAAGCGUUGUUACUUCCAUCAAAGGUCGUCAAUUUGGAUAGUGAAGUGAUGUUAUGAGGAAUUGUUCCUGUGAACUGAUUGUAAUAGAGUCCUAAAUAUGACAACUUUGUCAAAUUCAGUAGUUCAAUGGGAAAGCUUCCAUUGAGCCUAUUGAGACCAACAUUUAAGCUGGUCAACUGGUUUAGAUUGCCAAAAGAAGAUGGGAUUUCUCCAACAAUCUCGUUCCCAGAAAGGUCAAGAUAAGUGAGGUUAUAAAGAUUUCCAAUAGAAGAUGGAAUCUUACCCGAAAUUUGAUUCAAAUGAAGGUUAAGAUAGGUGAGAUGAGAAAGGUUUCCAAUUGAAGAUGGAAUCGGACCAGAAAAACUAUUAGAUGAAAGAUCGAGAAAGGUGAGAUUCGAAAGGUCUAUAAUCGAAGAAAAAAUGAACUCGCUGAACUGAUUAAGUGAAAGGUCGAGAGAGGUGAUAUGAGAAAGGUUUUUAAUUGAAGACAUGAUUUGACCACUAAAACGAUUUCUUGAAAGGUCUAGGGUGGUUAGAGAAUGAAGGUUUUGAAGACUGCUAUUGGAAUGAAACCGGCCACCUAGGUAGCUGCAACUAAGGUCUAGCUCGAUCACUUCACCGGACUUGACGUUGCACGUGAUUGUAACGUCCCGACCCGCCCACGGCUAAUAGGCCACCCACGCCCGCUCUCUCGGCCCGUGGGCCCCAUCCCGUCUGACGGUCGGUCCGUUAAUUUUCCAAAGGCUCGAAAUCAUUGUUUACUGACCCUGCAAUCACCACCCGACCUUUUCCCAUGCUUUGGCCUCACUCGCACGCUAUCGCGAAUCACUUCCCGAUAGGUCACCCAUCCUUCCACUACUCCAGCUCAAGCACGCUUAACUCUGGAGUUCUUUCAGGAUGUGUUCCGGAAAAGGUAAGUCAACUUUGGUGACAUAGGUAGCCAAAUCAAUUAUCUUAAGCCUUUUUCACAUAUCACAACUCGGGAUGUUACAAUUCACCCCAUCUCAAAGAACGCAACGUCCUCGUUGCGCCCCAUGACAGGUCUUAAGACGCCUCUCAGGUCAGAACUGAGACGGCUAACCAGCUCUGAUACCACUUAUAACGCCCCGACCCGCCCACGGCUAAUGGGCCACCCACGCCCGCUCUCUCGGCCCGUGGGCCCCAUCCCGUCUGACGGUCGGUCCGUUAAUUUUCCAAAGGCUCGAAAUCAUUGUUUACUGACCCUGCAAUCACCACCCGACCUUUUCCCAUGCUUUGGCCUCACUCGCACGCUAUCGCGAAUCACUUCCCGAUAGGUCACCCAUCCUUCCACUACUCCAGCUCAAGCAUGCUUAACUCUGGAGUUCUUUCAGGAUGUGUUCCGGAAAAGGUAAGUCAACUUUGGUGACAUAGGUAGCCAAAUCAAUUCUCUUAAGCCUUUUUCACAUAUCACAACUCGGGAUGUUACAAUUUCCCACCAAAGGUUAUCGGAAUGGGAAACCUGAAAGAACUCCAGAGUUAAGCGUGCUUGAGCUGGAGUAGUGGAAGGAUGGGUGACCUAUCGGGAAGUGAUUCGCGAUAGCGUGUGAGUGAGGCCAAAGCACGGGAAAAGGUCGGGUGGUGAUUGCAGGGUCAGUAAACAAUGAUUUCGGGUCUUAGAAAAUUAACGGACUGACCGUCAGACGGGAUGGGGCCCACGGGCCGAGUGAGCGGGCGUGGGUGGCCCAUUAGCCGUGGGCGGGUCGGGGCGUUAUAAGUGGUAGGGAUUGUCGGAGUAGGCCAUUUGGUGCACGGGGAGUAGCACCAGCAGCACCAGCAGGACAGGCAGCACCAGCAGGACAGGCAGCACCAGCAGCACAGCCAGCACCAGUAGCACAGGGAGCGCAGGCAGCACCAGCUGCACCAUACGCACCAGGAGCUUGCUUCACUUGUGGCCAGUUUGGCCAUAUCUCCAGGUUUUGCCCGACUAAAGGGCCUGGGGCCAAGCGUCAAGCCAUCACCCCGCGUGUUUAUGCUCUAGGAGAGGCCAAUGGAGCUGAGCCGAUAGCCGGUAUGUAUCCUUAUCAUUUCUUUUUUUUUUUUUUGAGUAAUUGUGUUUUGGUGGAUAUCUAGUUAGAAAAAAAAAAAAAAGUCGACUUUUUUUGUGACAACCCGCCCCGUGGGAACUACCCGCCCCUUGGGCCCCAGGCUCACAGCGCUGCAGCGCACCGACCCCAACCCCUCAAUUAUGAGUUCUCUCUAACUCCAUAAUUAGGUUGUUGGUGAGCCUCGAACCCAGGACCUCACCCUUUAACAGCAUUCCCACAGGACAAGCUGUCACCAAUUGAUCUGCAGAUCAAUUGGUGACAGCUUGUCCUGUGGGAAUGCUGUUAAAGGGUGAGGUCCUGGGUUCGAGGCUCACCAACAACCUAAUUAUGGAGUUAGAGAGAACUCAUAAUAGAGGGGUUGGGGUCGGUGCGCUGCAGCGCUGUGAGCCUGGGGCCCAAGGGGCGGGUAGUUCCCGUGCUUUGGCCUCACUCACACGCUAUCGCGAAUCACUUCCCGAUAGGUCACCCAUCCUUCCACUACUCCAGCUCAAGCACGCUUAACUCUGGAGUUCUUUCAGGAUGUGCUCCGGGUUGUUACAAUUUCAGCAUGGGAAAAGGUCGGGUGGUGAUUGCAGGGUCAGUAAACAAUGAUUUCGAGCCUUUGGAAAAUUAACGGACCGACCGUCAGACGGGAUGGGGCCCACGGGCCGAGAGAGCGGGCGUGGGUGGCCUAUUAGCCGUGGGCGGGUCGGGACGUUACAAGUGGUAUCAGAGCUGGUUAGCCGUCUCAGUUCCGACCUGAGAGGCGUCUUGAGACCUGUCGGGGGCGCAACGAGGACGUUGCGUUCUUUGAGAGGGGGUGAAUUGUAACAUCCCGAGUUGUGAUAUGUGAAAAAGGCUUAAGAGAAUUGAUUUGGCUACCUAUGUCACCAAAGUUGACUUACCUUUUCCGGAACACAUCCUGAAAGAAUUCCAGAGUUAAGCGUGCUUGAGCUGGAGUAGUGGAAGGAUGGGUGACCUAUCGGGAAGUGAUUCGCGAUAGCGUGCGAGUGAGGCCAAAGCAUGGGAAAAGGUCGGGUGGUGAUUGCAGGGUCAGUAAACAAUGAUUUCGAGCCUUUGGAAAAUUAACGGACCGACCGUCAGACGGGAUGGGGCCCACGGGCCGAGAGAGCGGGCGUGGGUGGCCCAUUAGCCGUGGGCGGGUCGGGGCGUUAUAGUGAUACCCUCCCAAGUACAACAAUCGCUGCUAUUCCGCCAUGAUUCCGUUUUCGGAUGACGCUUUACUAUAUCAUCAUCAAAAUAACAAUCAUAAGCAAAGGAAGAGUUUAGAACCUCAAACUCGUUCUUCAACAGAAGAAGUGCAUCCCUUUGAUCCGGACGACACAAGUGCGUAGUUGGAACCGCAGACACGUCCCCAUAACUGUAGCCGAAUAAAAAAAGUAUAGAAAGAGUAAGAGAAAUGGUACUCGUUAAGUUCCAAAAGCCUUUCAUUCUUCUUUAAGCUUAUUUAACUUUCUUGAAUAUCAAAAACUGAAAGAGCAAAAAGAAAAGGGAAAUUGGUGAUGAGUAACAUGCUUCCAUGGCCAUUUCUUUAUAUACACAAUAAUAGACUCUGUAUUUACUCCACACAAAACAAAAUCCACAGAGAAAAAUACAUUAUUCGUCACGUCGAAAGCAAAAUCUUUGUGUCGGAUAGUCAAUUUUCUACACAUAUUGGUCCCCUACACUAAUUACAUGAAUUUUCAAAAAAAAAAGAAUUGUCUAAACCAAAGAAGACGUAAUUUAGGUUUAUAUUUGGAUUUAAACUAAGAGCACCCGCAAUGGGAAUCUUUAAGGAUGAGUCCUUAGGAAAAAAAUAAUUAAAUAAUCGGUGAAUCCCACCAAAAGUUAAGGAUUCAAUCUUUAAAAUUCCUAAAUAAGGACUCUUUUUUAGUGAAUCCUUGCACUAUUUGCGGGUCCCGACGACAUGUGGCGAUUCGCGAUUGGUUGAUAUUUAUUUUUUUUUAUCUAAAAAAAUAAAAUAAAUAAUAAUACUUAAAAAAUCAAAAUAUAUUUUUUCUAAAGAUUCGCCUUUGAGUAACACUAUUGUGGGUGCUCUAACGUAUACUACGACCCAUGCAUAUUGACCCAAAAGUACUAACGUUUACGAUUACGAGACCCAUGCAUAUUUGCAUAUAAUGUAGUCUUUCGAUUUGAUAGUACAAGUUUUAUCUUUUUUACUUAUUCUAUUUAAAAAUUCAAGAUUUUAUGACAUUCCUUGCUUUAAAAAAAGAACUAAUUUAACUACUAAACUAGCGUAAUUUUGAUAGAAUUUCAAAAUAAGAAUCAUGCAUCUCCUAUAUUAAUAAGAAGAAAACAAACAUCAACCUUUUCAAAAAAAAUCAACGGCGAACGGUCUUAUUUUUAUUUUUGGUUUAUUCCUCGUGACUUCCAAAAUGAAAAAUAUAUGCAAAAUGACAAAAAGAUUAAACUCUUUACUAAGAAUCAAUCAAAAUGAACAAAAAUAUCAAUCUGCAUGAGAACAUUCUUCAUAACAGAAAAAUCAACUCUUCGUCGUGAAUGUACCGGCGAUCGAGCCAUAUGGCCCAUAUCAUAGUGAGUACAUUCUUCAACUAAUAUUCCUCAGGGCGAGAUCGUCAGGAAGAAACCAAGAUUUUACUCGAUCGCUUUCUUUUUGUUUCUUCAAUAUAUGGCUGUAGUAACCAAAAACAAAUAAAUAAAUGUUGAUGAACCAAUCAGUUUCCGCAUUUUUUUCUUUCUCACGUCAAUAAUAACAAGUUUUGGUGAUAAUCAUCUCACUUUCAUUAGAUAAAAUAUACAGAAAAGAGACAACUAGUGAUGAGAAACCAAAACUUCCAUACGGAAGAGGCUCGUUCAGAUUUUCUUAUUAUGUUUUUCCCCACUUUCUAGAUUAAUGUAAUUUUGUAAUAUACAUUAUUAAUCGUUUCAUAUAUAGUUUCAAGCAACCUACGAGAGACUUCCAAGUCCACAAGAAGGUUAGGGGAAUCAUCUACCUUCAUCCAUGAACCAUCUUCACCACGCGGUUGAACCACGAAGCUGACUCCUUUCACGUCAGAAUCUACCACCAGCUCCGAAACGUAAUAGGCUGGUACGUGAGACACUCCUAGGAACACUCUCUCGCUUCUUGGUUUCUCCAGAACCUUUCUUGAUCUUAGUACAUCAGUUGACUUCACAUUCUCUGCAUACACAUUGUACACUGGGAGAACAGAGUCUUCAAGCUGUGUCUGUCUCCAUUCUAGCUUAACCUUAAGGAUCCUAGAACCGGAUUUACCCAGUACAAGCUCUAAGUUAUGAGCCUCGAUUACCCAUGAUGUCGCUGGAGGUAAGGAAACGAGGUUUUGCUGGAGUAGCUGAACAUGAUGAUCUUUGAUUGAGAUGUGAUCCAUGAUUCCCUCCUCCGUUAUAAGAUGCCUCUCUAGUACUAAACAAAUUCAUGUGCUCACCGUUAUACGUUUGCAAACAAAUAGUGAGCUGAAUGAUAUCAGUGUUGUCUUCCUUGAACUCUAGGAUUGGCUAACAUUAAUAACACAACAAAGGCACCCAUCAGAUGAGAGAAGAGACAAAAUAUUAUAUGCGCAGUUAAAGCGAGGACGAUAAGAUGGUUGAACCUGAAGACUUUGGCAAGAAAUGUUGUACCAUGGAGCAUCAGAUAACUGGCGACCCUCGAGUGAAACAUGGUAACCAAAGCUCUGGAUAAACGAGAAAAGAUAUUUUCAGAACAUAACUUAACAUAAAUCAUCGCCAAGACAGUCGAUGUAUACUUUACCUGAUUGAAGUCAGAGUAAAAAGGCAAGACUUGUGGAUAUGUUUGGACUACUCCCCAUGACUUCUCAACAAGUGACCACCAUCUGAAGGGAAAACGAAUGAACGAUAAUAAGAUGACAAAGAAAUGCCAAUUUAUUUUACAAGCAAACAGACAAAAGAAGUAAUACUUAUUCUGAGCUGUAUGAAAAUUAGGAGGCUGUGCAGUCUCAUAUACCCAUCCAGGAGCGAAAAUGGCAGCUGAUACAUUGUUUCUCUUCAGCAAAUCAAGAGCAGUAUUAACCUAUAAUAUAUAGAUUAAUGAGACAAUGAUUGAAUCUUUAAGCUUCUGAGAUUUCAGAUUGUUGAUUUGGAACCAUAUCUUUGAGCAUCUACUCAAUUGAGUUGAAUUGUGUUGUUGUUGUACAGGGAAGAAGUUGUAGAGAUUAGAUUGUGGAGAAGCUAUGGUAGAGCAAUGGUUGGAUCUGAGAAGAGAGCUCAGCUCAUGGAGAUUGGAGAAACUGUUAUUAUUCUUACUCACUAGGUUUCAAGUUAGAGUAAUGCUUUUUUUUUUUGUGUUUACUUAUCUUAUUUAGGGUACAUUGGUAGCAAAGCAGAUUGGUGAAAGAAACUCUUGUAGUAAUCUGACAGACAUAUCAACAUGUACUUUUGUCAAGUGUUUAAUGUAUUAUCGUUUGUGUAUCAAUGCCUGCAGUUCCAAAUAGAGUUUUUUUCUCCUUUUUUGUUAUCAGCAAUUAGUCUUUUGCGUAAUCAGGUCUCAAAGUUCUCUUUCCAGGACAAUGUACAUCAGAGACAUUCAUGUUCUUCCAUAAUUUACGUUUGGAAGACCAAACCCACCAAGCUAUUGUUUGGCUGUUUGCUUAUAUGACUUUGCAUCAAUCUUUAUCGUGUUGAAGCUCACGCAUCUUCUUCUGAAGAAGAUUGUUUCUGUAGAUUAAUAAAGAAGGGAACAGAAUGGGGGCAAGGCAUGGGCCUAUUCAUCAUUUGUGUUGGCUUGAUCUUUUCAUUGCUACUUACAUGAUUGGCUCGUGGGUUCGAGUCCAAGCUCGUAGGUCACACACAUCAUGAUCAUGUAGUGGCUUAUCUUUGAGAUUUUGGUAUUGAGCUUUAAGUAUAAUGUUGAAAAAUCAAAGGAUAACGUACCAGAGGGAUUGUGAAAGUGACCAAUCAGUUGGCUGUUUCUUUUUUGAGAUCGUGGACACCAAAACAAAGAGAAGCAAGACUUGGAUUCGAUUAAAAAGUCAGUCAAGAAAAAUAUAAAAAGAAAGAUCCAAGAGGAAUUUUCUUAUAAAAUGGAUAAUGAUCGUUAAACCCAAAUUUUAGUUGAGUAUAUAUAUAUUUAGUUAUUGUUAAUUGUUAAUUUAGAUUAUACAUAUUUAAUCAAACAAUCAAAGGUUGAAAUAGAAACAAGAGAGUGUGGACAUGAAGAAAACAAGACCCCUUUAGGCCUUUACUAGCCAUUUCUCUUCCUCUUCUACUCAUCAUUCAUUAUCAAUGAGAAUAUUACCAAUCACAAGAUAAAUCAACGCAAACUUUUUUUUUUUUUUUUUGUAUUGUCACAUUCGAAAAUCAUAAGCUUAAAACCUUUUGAACUUUGUAUAUACACAAAAUGGAAUCUUGAUAAUUAUAUUUGCAAAGUUUAUAGUUUCUAUGAGUUAAUGUGUCUCAUUGAUAUGAACAAUCGAAAUAUCCAUAUAUAAUAUGUACAUCCUUUUCUAAAGCGCUGUGUAACUGUGUUGAUUAUAGCUUUUAUCUGGAUCAUCUGUUCAUUGCUCAUCUCACGUCUAAACAGUUGAUGUUAAGAUUCACAAGAGGGGAAAAGACGACACAUCUUUGACUGUGCUUGUAAUUUUCAGCGUAAGAAACAUAGUUGUUGUUCAAUUACAGAGAAACAAAGAAAUUUGCUAAAACGUAAAAAAAAAUAGAGAUAGAGAAAAAACACACCAAGCUAAACCAGAAACGAUAUCCCAAAUCUUAUUUGAAAUUAUGAUAGACAUAGUAAUUGCUUCGGAUUUCAUCUUUCAGAUUCCGCAGGUAGCUUAUAAAAGACCUGUACCAAAAAAAGAAAAGGUUAACUCAGGUGAUUUCACUAUUAAUAUUUUUGUUUCUUCAAAUGUUUGCUAACAAGUUGACUUAAAACUCUAGAAUAUAUUACCUCUUUAAUGAGUUGUGCUGCUGCUGAUUCUGCGCUUGUUUCGGGCAAAAGGGUCGAUGAACCACUCUGGUUUGUAGGAAAAGAGUAUGUAACCAAUCACCCAUCCAAAGGCAAUACCAGGUAUGACUCCUAUUACAGCUGCUAUCCAACUCAACACCUCUUCUUCUUCUUCAUCCUCUGAUUCCGGUGUUUCAUGCGGUGUUGGCAUGUGGAUAUCUCUGCAAUCUUCGUCAAGAGAAGGGCCAAAAAGUCCCGGAUUAUCCUCAAAGUAAGUGCAGUCCAGCCUUUGAAACUGAGUGCCUCCUGGUACUAGACCUGUAAGCUUGUUAUGAGAGAAGUUCAUGUACGAAAGGAACGAGAGGCUCCCUAGCUCUUGCGGAAUUUCUCCUGAAAGCUUGUUUUGGGAAACGUCUAGUGACUCAAGAGCCGUCAGGUUUCCAAGAGAUGAAGGGAUGUGGCCAGUGAAAGCAUUGUUCGACAAGUUAAGCAUAAGAAGCCCUUUUAAUAGACCGAUGGACCUUGGGAUCUCUCCUUCAAAUUUGUUUCCUGAAAAGUCAAGUGCUGUGUAGAUCUUUAGGAUACGUACAAACUCCAUCUCUAUACCUUUAUUCAUCAACACCAUUGAAUCAUGGUAAUAGGAACCUCCCAUGUAAUUGUCAAACCGCUGAUCAUAAUUGUCCCCCAAUGAUGACAUAGCACUCCACUUCACAAAGUAGUCUGAUGACAAAGAUCCAUUGAAGUGAUUGUGCGAUAUGUCGAUGAUUUGCAACUUAGGGAACGAAGUUUGAAGUACCGGUCCAUGGAACGCAUUGGAGCGUAAUACAAGAAUUUUUAACUCUCGUAGAGAAUGCAACCAGAACGGAAACGUAUCAUUGAAAAUGUUGCUUUCCACGUUCAGAACUUCAAGACUAGAGAAAUGGAUCAAAGAUCUUGGAAGCCUUCCUGUCAGUUGGUUAUGACCAACGUCAAGCGUUCUUAAGCUUUCAAAUAUAGUCUCCGGAAGACCUCCAUGAAGACGAUUUUGACGAAGGUUUAGAUAUAAAAGAGAACGUUUGAGAUUUCCCAGACAACGAGGGAUUAAACCGACGAAUUUGUUGUUCGAUAAAUCAAGAGUGUAUACAUAGCGCAAAUCACAUAUGAAAGAGGGAAUCUUUCCCGUGAAAUUGUUGUUGGAGGCAAUCAAGUUUACGAUAGAAACUGUUGUUGAGUUUCCGAAGCCAGUGAAAGUGUUGUUGGAAAGAUUCAGGUAAGCCAGCUUUGGUAGCGUCCAUAACCAGCCAGGCACUUGACCUUUGAUUUUAUUGUUGGAAAUGUCUAGCCACUCCAUAUGUUGGUUUCUUGGAAAUUCUGGAAACUCGGUGAUACCGCAGCCUGACAAUUCCAAAUAACGCAGCAAAGGGGGACCUGAAACUGGACUCUUGUUUGUGGCAGAAACAGGGUUGCCUGAGAGAACCAACCUCUCGAGCCUCUUAAAAUAUGACAAGAAAUCAUUCAAGUCAAUGGCAGUGGUCGUGUUCAAAUAGGAUAGGUCAAGAUCUUCCAGCCUCUUGAGAUGCGAGAAGAUGUUAAAGUCCACUGGAGCUUGUGUCUUGUAGUGGGAAAGGUCAAGUUGGACAAGGUUGGUAAAUUUGGAUAUCGCGGCCGGGAUUGGCCCUCUCAAGUUGUUAUUGCCAACGUCUAACUUUCGUAGCUGAGGUGGUGAAGAUAUAUUCCCAAACUCAAGAAUACCGUUUAAUUGAUUAUCAGACAAAUCAACAAUAUCCAUAGAAGGAAUGGUGAAGAGAGAAGAAGGC